GUGUUUUCUUCAGUAGCACAUACACUAAAAUUGGAACGACGUGGAGAUUAGCACGGCCCCUGCCCAAGGAUGACACGCAAAUCCGUGAAGCUUUCCAUAUUAAA
Small nuclear RNA from Fukomys damarensis (Damara mole-rat), 104 nucleotides. Lineage: Eukaryota; Metazoa; Chordata; Mammalia; Rodentia; Bathyergidae. The record is from Ensembl.